RNAcentral lists this ribosomal RNA (465 nucleotides) under Vreelandella stevensii. Its description in RNAcentral is "partial 16S ribosomal RNA". It matches the Rfam family "Bacterial small subunit ribosomal RNA", at positions 338 to 795 of the family's 1533-position model. The record is from RNAcentral. Lineage: Bacteria; Pseudomonadati; Pseudomonadota; Gammaproteobacteria; Oceanospirillales; Halomonadaceae.
CCUACGGGUGGCAGCAGUGGGGAAUAUUGGACAAUGGGGGGAACCCUGAUCCAGCCAUGCCGCGUGUGUGAAGAAGGCCCUCGGGUUGUAAAGCACUUUCAGUGAGGAAGAACGCCUGGUGGUUAAUACCCAUCAGGAAAGACAUCACUCACAGAAGAAGCACCGGCUAACUCCGUGCCAGCAGCCGCGGUAAUACGGAGGGUGCGAGCGUUAAUCGGAAUUACUGGGCGUAAAGCGCGCGUAGGUGGCUUGAUAAGCCGGUUGUGAAAGCCCCGGGCUCAACCUGGGAACGGCAUCCGGAACUGUCAAGCUAGAGUGCAGGAGAGGAAGGUAGAAUUCCCGGUGUAGCGGUGAAAUGCGUAGAGACCGGGAGGAAUACCAGUGGCGAAGGCGGCCUUCUGGACUGACACUGACACUGAGGUGCGAAAGCGUGGGUAGCAAACAGGAUUAGAUACCCUGGUAGUC